UGAGCCAUGAUGAACCCAACAUGCCAUCUGAACGCCAGUGCUGAAACCCAGAGGCUGUUUCUGAGCUG
Suncus etruscus (white-toothed pygmy shrew) is the source of this 68-nucleotide small nucleolar RNA. RefSeq annotates it as small nucleolar RNA SNORD95. Lineage: Eukaryota; Metazoa; Chordata; Mammalia; Eulipotyphla; Soricidae. The record is from RefSeq and is a predicted model, not a curated record. The transcript has a single exon.